Non-coding RNA from Pelobates cultripes (western spadefoot toad), 204 nucleotides. The record is from the annotation of a GenBank genome assembly. Lineage: Eukaryota; Metazoa; Chordata; Amphibia; Anura; Pelobatidae.
UUUUAUUCUUUAUUUAUUCCAAGACAAUCUGAGACAUUACAUGCAGUCCAUAACAAGUGUGUUUCAUACAUAGGCAGAGUUUAACGUACGAUUGUGGACAAUAUUCAUUUCCACUUGAACAGCAGGUUUACGGCUAUGAGUGAUCCCACCCAUGCCUUUUUCGGUAAGAGAUAAUCACCGAGGAGCCACCUCCAACAUUCUGCC